UAGGGAAUCUUCCGCAAUGGGCGAAAGCCUGACGGAGCAACGCCGCGUGAGUGAUGAAGGUCUUCGGAUCGUAAAACUCUGUUAUUAGGGAAGAACAAAUGUGUAAGUAACUAUGCACGUCUUGACGGUACCUAAUCAGAAAGCCACGGCUAACUACGUGCCAGCAGCCGCGGUAAUACGUAGGUGGCAAGCGUUAUCCGGAAUUAUUGGGCGUAAAGCGCGCGUAGGCGGUUUUUUAAGUCUGAUGUGAAAGCCCACGGCUCAACCGUGGAGGGUCAAUGGAAACUGGAAAACUUGAGUGCAGAAGAGGAAAGUGGAAUUCCAAGUGUAGCGGUGAAAUGCGCAGAGAUAUGGGGGAACACCAGUGGCGAAGGCGACUUUCUGGUCUGUAACUGACGCUGAUGUGCGAAAGCGUGGGGAUCAAACAGG
This 429-nucleotide ribosomal RNA is filed under the name Actinomycetes bacterium. RNAcentral's name for it is "Actinobacteria bacterium partial 16S ribosomal RNA". It matches the Rfam family "Bacterial small subunit ribosomal RNA", at positions 355 to 776 of the family's 1533-position model. Lineage: Bacteria; Bacillati; Actinomycetota; Actinomycetes. The record is from RNAcentral.